UACUUCUGCGACAAAUUCCGAAAGCAUGAGUGAUAGGACACGAUCCGGAAAUUGUCCUUAUCCACAAAAAAUAAAAUGGAUGGAAAUAUCGGUGUGCGUACCUGUAUAAAUAGAGUAAGUGUC
This is a non-coding RNA of Fusarium venenatum, 123 nucleotides long. NCBI's taxonomy places the organism in Eukaryota, Fungi, Ascomycota, Sordariomycetes, Hypocreales, Nectriaceae. The record is from RefSeq and is a predicted model, not a curated record.